AUGAAGGUGAGACUACAUCUUGCAUCUUUCCGUCCAGGGAGCGCCAGCUGGGUUGGAUGCUCUUGCCUGAACGAAUGCAUGUGGGUUUUCCCCACAGCAGAGCUUGAUCUGAAGACCUGGGUGCAGGGAAGAAGCAGAGAGAUGGGGAAGGAGGAAGAGCAUUACCAAGAGUCCACACUGCUUUGAGCAGUACCGGCAUUACUCCCCCCGCCCGGCCCCUUUCAGGAAGCAUCUAGAUGCCUCUAGAAGACAGAUGUUUCUUCAGUGCUUCUGUCCCCUGUCACUGAAGGGACCUGCACUUGCCGGGGGCCUAGUGGGCCCUGAAAGACCCCUGCCUGUCCCCUGGACAGUGGUGACAAGUUCCUGAUAUUCUUCCUGCCUCUGUGUCUGCCUCCAACCUGCCCUGCGUGUACUGUCGGAGUAGCCUUCAAAGGAACUCCUGGCUCGCAAGGCUUCAUGAUGUCACUGAGAAGAGAUUAGCUGCUCGGGAUGGCUCCCCAGAUCUCUCCAGUUGACCUCAGACUCCUUGCAGGGAGCCUGGCCCCAGGCCAGCACCACUAGCACCCCCGGGCACCCAGACCUUCCUACCCCCACAUGUGGUCUUGCUCUCGCCUGCCUUCUUCUCAGCAUCUGGAGCCCUACCUGUCCCUCAGGGACACCUGUCACCCGUGUCAGCUUUGCAUCUCUGUGUAUACUCAACGGUGUGGCCCUACAGCACUGCAGAAGACUCGGUGCUUCAUCCUGGCCUACGUGGAGGAGCUCCCCUGUGCCAGAAAAGAGCCUCAUAAUGACGUGGUAACAAAUUCACUGGGCUGCCCUGGUGUUGCUGUGAUGUCCUCCCCCCUCCUGCUCCCGGAGACUCAGGCCACUGGCCCUGCUCACCUGCCCCUUGGCUUCUUUCAAUUUGUUCCCAAAGUCUCUGAGUUACUUUGGUGCCAGAAUGUCUUUUGGAAAAACACAUCAAGGACAGAACGUGAAAGGAAUGGUACAGAAAUAAAUAAAUGA
RNAcentral lists this long non-coding RNA (1005 nucleotides) under Canis lupus familiaris (dog). RNAcentral's name for it is "lncRNA (ENSCAFG00845013027.1)". The record is from RNAcentral. Lineage: Eukaryota; Metazoa; Chordata; Mammalia; Carnivora; Canidae.